RNAcentral lists this long non-coding RNA (223 nucleotides) under Lathyrus oleraceus (garden pea). RNAcentral's name for it is "Pisum sativum (pea) long non-coding RNA (PSAT_LNC026921)". The record is from RNAcentral. Lineage: Eukaryota; Viridiplantae; Streptophyta; Magnoliopsida; Fabales; Fabaceae.
UUUAAAAAUAUUUUUCUGCAUUUUAAAAUUCUAAAAAAUUUAUUUCAUGUUUCUCAUUUUAUUUUCAACCUUUCAUGAUUUUCUUGGCCAUUUAUUUGGUGUUUUGAAAGACUUUGUGAAAUUUUCAUUUUACUCCCAUUUUAAAAAUCAUUUAAAACACCUUUAAUACAUUUUUAUUUCAUUUAAUUGCAUUUUUUAAUUUGUUUGACCUUGUGGACUUUUG